CAAGUGGCCAAAACUUUCAUUCAUUCAGCUCGGGCAUACAUUUUAUUGCCCAGCUUGGCCAGAAUUGAUUGAGGUCCACGCACAGCGAAGACAAUCGAAAUUGCUGGUUGAUAACGGUCGGCCCUCUGCUGGGAUCCAGCCUCCAUUCAACUUUAAAUCAAUGCCCCUCUAGCGGCCUAGUUCACGCUCUCACACCCAGCAGGCUUUCAUUCAUCACUCCAUACACAGCUUCAGACAGACUUCUCAUUUGAUUUGGCAUCUCAAGUUGAAAUUAACAAAUAAAAAUAUUUCCAUUUCUCCAAAUUGAUUUGGCCAUGCAUAAUCACUUCAUAUCCUUUGUGGUCGGCGGCGUCGUCGGCUUUCUAAUUGCAAAGCACGGCCGGUUUUGAAAUGGCGCCCAGUAUGAAUGAACCCAGGAGCAAAAUCCCGAAUCCCGUUUAAAAAGUUUCUCAAGUAAUUCCAGACUUUUACUCUUCCCUUUUGUAACCCAAACUUGCAGUUCACAGUUUACCAGGCAUCGACUCAAUAUGCUUGUCGCAUUUCUCUUUGGCUUUAUCGCGGGCAUGAUUUUUUGUUGCAAGCAACGGAAAUGCCGCCCAUAAGUUUACUAAUUUAUUAACAAUAAAAAAAAAAAUUAUAAAAAAUCAA
Molecule: long non-coding RNA, 648 nt
Organism: Drosophila mojavensis
Lineage: Eukaryota; Metazoa; Arthropoda; Insecta; Diptera; Drosophilidae
Exons: 2
Source: RefSeq, a predicted model, not a curated record